GACGAACGCUGGCGGCGUGCCUAAUACAUGCAAGUAGAACGCUGAAGCUUGGUGCUUGCACCGAGCGGAUGAGUUGCGGACGGGUGAGUAACGCGUAGGUAACCUGCCUGGUAGCGGGGGAUAACUAUUGGAAACGAUAGCUAAUACCGCAUAAGAGUAGAUGUUGCAUGACAUUUUCUUAAAAGGUGCAAUUGCAUCACUACCAGAUGGACCUGCGUUGUAUUAGCUAGUUGGUGAGGUAACGGCUCACCAAGGCAACGAUACAUAGCCGACCUGAGAGGGUGAUCGGCCCAACUGGGACUGGGACACGGCCCAGGAUCCUUACGGGGGCAGCAGUAGGGAAUCUUCGGCAAUGGAGGGAAGGCUGACCGAGCAACGCCGCGUGAGUGAAGAAGGGUUUCGGAUCGGAAAGCUCUGUUGUAAGGGAAGAACGAGUGUGAGAGUGGAAAGUUCACACUGUGACGGUAUCUUAUCAGAAAGGGACGGCUAACUACGUG
Molecule: ribosomal RNA, 497 nt
Filed under: uncultured bacterium
Lineage: Bacteria
Description: partial 16S ribosomal RNA
Rfam family: Bacterial small subunit ribosomal RNA
Source: RNAcentral